RNAcentral lists this unclassified non-coding RNA (1065 nucleotides) under Hevea brasiliensis (rubber tree). The record is from RNAcentral. Lineage: Eukaryota; Viridiplantae; Streptophyta; Magnoliopsida; Malpighiales; Euphorbiaceae.
GAAAAAUGAUCACUUGUAUAGAAACUUAAAUAAACCAAGCACCAAUUGUAUCCCAAAACAAAUAUCCCACAUAUAAGUUAAAUAAACCAGGAUUAAGGCAGAUGGCCUCACACCAGCCAAACCUUUUUAUUUUUCUUCUCCACUCUCAAAGAAAAUAAAUAAAAACUCAGGAGUGAUAUGAUUUGCAAACCUUACAUUUUUUUUUGUUUUUGUUUUUCUUUCUCCACUGACACACACAUAAACAAGUAGAGAUCCAGUAAAACAAACCCUAAUCGAUAAUCAUCCAACCUUAUUAGGAGCACGAGGAAAUCAGAACAAUCCAUCCCAUGAUCAUAAUAUAUCAAUCAAGGGGUAUAAAUAUAUCACAUCAACAUCUUCAACCGAAGAAAUGGUGCUUCUUCCCUCCCUCGCUCUCCUUCUCCUCCUUCUUGAACUCCUUCUUCUCGUGUUUCUCAUGGAAAGCAUAACCUCCGGCCCCGACGGCCGCGGUCGCCAAGAUCUCCUCCUCUAUCUUGUGCUUGUGAGCGUGCUCCGGGUCCUUCUUCGCCUCAUGCCUCUCAUACAGGGCGAAACCACCAGCAGCAGCGGCACCAAGCUCACCGAGGUGCUCCUUGCGCUUGGCGUGCUUCUCCUGCUUCUCGUAGUCGGGCUUCUCCUCCUCGACAUAGCCGGAGUUGUAGACGGUGUUGUCAUUGCCGGUACCAGUGUUGUAGCCGGUGUUGUAUCCUUCGGUGGUGCCUGUGUUGUAACCGGUGUUGGUGCCGGUGUUAUAGCCGGUGUCGUAGCUGCCGGUGUUACCGGUGUCGUAGCCGCCGGUGUUGGUGCCGGUGUUGUAGCCGUCGGUGUUACCGGUGUCGUAGCCGGUGUUAGUGCCAGUGUUGUAGCCGUCGCCGGUGUUAUAACCGGUGUUGCCAGUGUUGUAGCCGUCGGUGUUGCCGUAAGGGGCCUCCUCACCGGUGUUCUCCUCGUCCUUGUGGCGGUGGAAGAGGUGGUGCUUGUGGUGCUCCUCGGCCAUUGAUAAUGUGUGAGCUAACUGGAAAGGGACGGUGGGAUAAAUCCGAGAGG